CAUAUAAAACCAAGGGCGACUUCAUUUUGGUGGGUGAUUUGAUGCGAUCUGUCACGCUGGAGGUAAUUUUGAGAAGAUCGCUCGCGACUAUUAACCAAAUUGGAUGACAGUGAUUUCCUCGGGCGGAUAACAGAACAAUCUAUUUGUUUGCCUAAAAGAUGGCUAAGGCCGCAGCAACGGACGACGAACGAUAGCAAGUACCAAAGGUUGCUCAAUGCGAUCUCGGUGAUAUGGUGAAUGUAUUCCGCCACGGUUCGCUCGUGAUGCAAAACUUUGGUGAGCGAACGACGGCGACAACGGGUUGUGUGCUAUUUGGCAUAGUCAGCGAUGCAAUUGGGAAAUUUGACUGACACAAUCAAAUCUGUUGAAAAUUGCAGAUCGACGUGGAUGGAACUAAGAAGGAAGCGGCCGUACAUGAUACAAUCAAGAUUAUAGAAGACCUAACAUGGAUACAUUAGGAUGUCUAGUGUUGAUCAUUAUUAUUGAAUGGAUGCUAUCAGUUGUUUUCAGGUUGACAAAACGAGAAGUUACAAUUUUUUCUGAAAAAGUUGAUUAAUAAAUCAACUCAUUCAAAGAGAGAUGUUCGAAC
This is a long non-coding RNA of Toxorhynchites rutilus septentrionalis, 589 nucleotides long. RefSeq lists it as uncharacterized. The record is from RefSeq and is a predicted model, not a curated record. The transcript is spliced from 4 exons. Lineage: Eukaryota; Metazoa; Arthropoda; Insecta; Diptera; Culicidae.